CUCUUGGUACUCCGUUCUGUAAAUUCUUGGGAACUUAAAGCGCGCCGUGGUUGGGUUUCGUUCAAGUCUGGAAUGUGGAAUCCCCUGUUCUCAACCUGGAUAACUGCAUCCGAAACUGGCGAGCUAGAGUUCGGUAGAGGGUGGUGGAAUUUCCUGUGUAGCGUUGUAAUGCGUAUAUAUUGGAAGCAUCACCAGUGUCGUCGGCGUCCACCUGGACUGAUACUGACACUCAGGUGCGAUAGCGUGUGGAGCAAACAGGAUUAGAUACCCUGUAGUCCCGCCGUAUACGAUGUCACUUGACGUUUGGGUUCCUUGAGAACUUAGUUGCCGGAGCUAACGCAUUAAGUAGACCGCCUGGCGGAGUACGGAACGUUAGGUUAAAAACUCAAAUGAAUUGACGGGUUCCCGCACAAGCGGUGGACAUGUUGGUUUAAUUCGGAAGCAACGCCGAAGAACCUUACCUGGGUUUGACUUCACAAAACUUUCCGAAGAUCGCAUUGGUGCCUCUGGAAACUUUUGACACAGGUGCUUCAUGUCUUAACGUAAACCUCGGGCUAUUGAAAUGUUUGUUUUAUGUCCCGGUACGAAGGGCAACCCCUUGUCCUUUUUUUCCCCCCCUUUUUCGUGAACCUCAAGUAUAUUGCCGGGUAAAACUGUAAGAAAGGGGGUUCCCCAAUUCAUCUUCCCUCCCAGGGUAACCCGCCCCCCUAGUGUCAAAGACUGUCAGGCCUGAGUCCCUAACUCGCUUAAAAUUUGAUCUCGGUUUAAACUCCCAUCCUCUUUUUCCCAAAUCUCAAAACCUUAAACCUUUUCGCGUAACUUUCGCAAAAAAUAAAACUACUAAUC
This 846-nucleotide ribosomal RNA is filed under the name Pseudomonas sp. DCU12. RNAcentral describes it as "bacterial SSU rRNA". It matches the Rfam family "Bacterial small subunit ribosomal RNA", at positions 1 to 1294 of the family's 1533-position model. The record is from RNAcentral. Lineage: Bacteria; Pseudomonadati; Pseudomonadota.